This 333-nucleotide ribosomal RNA is filed under the name uncultured Bacillota bacterium. RNAcentral describes it as "bacterial SSU rRNA". It matches the Rfam family "Bacterial small subunit ribosomal RNA", at positions 28 to 351 of the family's 1533-position model. The record is from RNAcentral. Lineage: Bacteria; Bacillati; Bacillota.
GACGAACGCUGGCGGCGUGCCUAAUACAUGCAAGUCGAGCGAAUGGAGGAGAGCUUGCUCUCCGAAGUUAGCGGCGGACGGGUGAGUAACACGUGGGCAACCUGCCUAUAAGACUGGGAUAACUUCGGGAAACCGGAGCUAAUACCGGAUAGAUUCUUUCCUCUCAUGAGGAAAGAAGGAAAGAUGGUUUCGGCUAUCACUUAUAGAUGGGCCCGCGGCGCAUUAGCUAGUUGGUAAGGUAACGGCUUACCAAGGCGACGAUCGGUAGCUGGUCUGAGAGGAUGAUCAGCCACACUGGGACUGAGACACGGCCCAGACUCCUACGGGAGGCUG